UCCUACGGGACGCAGCAGUGGGGAAUAUUGCACAAUGGGGGAAACCCUGAUGCAGCGACGCCGCGUGAGCGAGGAAGUAUUUCGGUAUGUAAAGCUCUGUCAGCAGGGAAGAAGAAUGACGGUACCUGAAGAAGAAGCACCGGCUAAAUACGUGCCAGCAGCCGCGGUAAUACGUAUGGUGCAAGCGUUAUCCGGAUUUACUGGGUGUAAAGGGAGCGUAGACGGCAGUGCAAGUCUGAAGUGAAAGGCAAGGGCUCAACCCUUGGACUGCUUUGGAAACUGUGCUGCUGGAGUGUCGGAGAGGC
This 305-nucleotide ribosomal RNA is filed under the name uncultured bacterium. RNAcentral describes it as "bacterial SSU rRNA". It matches the Rfam family "Bacterial small subunit ribosomal RNA", at positions 337 to 658 of the family's 1533-position model. The record is from RNAcentral.